UAGGUUGUGCGACAUUUUAAUUGUAGCUGGGCAUGAAGUUCAUGUUGUUACGGGUGCUCCGGACUUUGGUUUUACUAGCGAGAUUCAGUCUCCCAACCUCCACAUUCGCAAGGACGUGCUGGAUUGUGGAGUUGUGCAAGCUGAUGCAUUGACAGUGGACCGUCUGUCCUCCUUGCAGAAGUACUCCGAGACGACUGUGGUGCGAAGGCCUUCCAUUUUGGCAGCAGAAGUAUCAGAGAAUGAUAUGUUGAUACUUUCAGAGGUAAGAUUUUUUUUUCUUUGUAUAUUUCACAUAAAUUUAACUGUAGAGUAUAAAAACCGAACAAACCGAACCGAACCGCACCGAACCGA
Long non-coding RNA from Asparagus officinalis (garden asparagus), 351 nucleotides. RefSeq lists it as uncharacterized. The record is from RefSeq and is a predicted model, not a curated record. The transcript is spliced from 3 exons. NCBI's taxonomy places the organism in Eukaryota, Viridiplantae, Streptophyta, Magnoliopsida, Asparagales, Asparagaceae.